Molecule: ribosomal RNA, 497 nt
Filed under: uncultured bacterium
Lineage: Bacteria
Description: partial 16S ribosomal RNA
Rfam family: Bacterial small subunit ribosomal RNA
Source: RNAcentral
GAUGAACGCUGGCGGCGUGCCUAAUACAUGCAAGUCGAGCGAACGGACGAGAAGCUUGCUUCUCUGAUGUUAGCGGCGGACGGGUGAGUAACACGUGGAUAACCUACCUAUAAGACUGGGAUAACUUCGGGAAACCGGAGCUAAUACCGGAUAAUAUUUUGAACCGCAUGGUUCAAAAGUGAAAGACGGUCUUGCUGUCACUUAUAGAUGGAUCCGCGCUGCAUUAGCUAGUUGGUAAGGUAACGGCUUACCAAGGCAACGAUGCAUAGCCGACCUGAGAGGGUGAUCGGCCACCCUAGAACUGAAACACGGUCCAGACUCCUACGGGAGGCAGCAGUAGGGAAUCUUCCGCAAAGGGCGAAAGCCUGACGGAGCAACGCCGCGUGAGUGAUGAAGGUCUUCGGAUCGUAAAACUCUGUUAUUAGGGAAGAACAUAUGUGUAAGUAACUGUGCACAUCUUGACGGUACCUAAUCAGAAAGCCACGGCUAACUACGUG